AUGAUGGGUGGUAAGUACAAAAUCAUAUAUCACAUAAUCUUUUCAUUCGGCACCGAUAAGGUGAUGUAAUAUCAUAUAUUAUUCUAUUGCAUAUAGUAGGUCAUAUCGUUAUCAUGUAUAUACGUGAUAAGAACCGGAUACACAGAGUGGUCGUGUUACGAAAAAGUCCGUAAUCGACGUAGCCCCCACCUCCCGCCACCCGGCGACGACCUCUCUCACAACGAAAUUAGGACUACCCUGCGGGGUAUACAGAAACAUAAUUUAUCAAAAAGCUCACCAGUCCUGCACGCUGUUGAACGACUCCUCGUUGGUGAUAUCGUACAUGAGAAUGAACCCCAUGGCACCCCUGUAAUAUGCCGUCGUGAUGGUCCUGUAACGUUCCUGGCCCGCCGUGUCC
Molecule: long non-coding RNA, 397 nt
Organism: Myzus persicae (green peach aphid)
Lineage: Eukaryota; Metazoa; Arthropoda; Insecta; Hemiptera; Aphididae
Exons: 2
Source: RefSeq, a predicted model, not a curated record